RNAcentral lists this ribosomal RNA (398 nucleotides) under uncultured soil bacterium. RNAcentral describes it as "bacterial SSU rRNA". It matches the Rfam family "Bacterial small subunit ribosomal RNA", at positions 26 to 424 of the family's 1533-position model. The record is from RNAcentral.
AGAAUGAACGCUGGCGGCGCGCUUAACACAUGCAAGUCGAACGGGGUCCUUCGGGGCCCAGUGGCGAACGGGUGCGUAACACGUGAGCAACCUGCCUGGAGUUGGGGGAUAACCUCGGGAAACCGGGGCUAAUACCGCAUACGCUCUUUUGCCUGUAUGGGUGGGAGAGGAAAGGAGCUUUAGGCUUCGACUCCAGAGGGGCUCGCGGCGUAUCAGCUAGUUGGUGAGGUAACGGCUCACCAAGGCGAUGACGCGUAGGGGGUCUGAGAGGAUGGCCCCCCACAUUGGGACUGAGAUACGGCCCAGACUCCUACGGGAGGCAGCAGUGGGGAAUCGUUGCGCAAUGGCCGAAAGGCUGACGCAGCGACGCCGCGUGCGGGAUGAACGCCCUUCGGGGU